RNAcentral lists this ribosomal RNA (254 nucleotides) under uncultured bacterium. RNAcentral's name for it is "partial 16S ribosomal RNA". It matches the Rfam family "Bacterial small subunit ribosomal RNA", at positions 524 to 776 of the family's 1533-position model. The record is from RNAcentral.
UACGUAGGGUGCAAGCGUUGUCCGGAAUUAUUGGGCGUAAAGAGCUCGUAGGCGGUUUGUCGCGUCUGCUGUGAAAACCCGAGGCUCAACCUCGGGCCUGCAGUGGGUACGGGCAGACUAGAGUGCGGUAGGGGAGAUUGGAAUUCCUGGUGUGAGCGGUGGAAUGCGCAGAUAUCAGGAGGAACACCAAUGGCGAAGGCAGAUCUCUGGGCCGUAACUGACGCUGAGGAGCGAAAGCAUGGGGAGCGAACAGG